GGAUUAGAUACCCUGGUAGUCCACGCCGUAAACGAUGACAACUAGCCGUCGGGGCCCUUGAGGCCUUGGUGGCGCAGCUAACGCGGUAAGUUGUCCGCCUGGGGAGUACGGCCGCAAGGUUAAAACUCAAAUGAAUUGACGGGGGCCCGCACAAGCGGUGGAGCAUGUUGUUUAAUUCGAUGCAACGCGAAGAACCUUACCACCCCUUGACAUCCUGCGAACUUUCUAGAGAUAGAUCGGUGCCUUCGGGAGCGCAGUGACAGGUGCUGCAUGGCUGUCGUCAGCUCGUGCCG
Molecule: ribosomal RNA, 293 nt
Filed under: uncultured bacterium
Lineage: Bacteria
Description: partial 16S ribosomal RNA
Rfam family: Bacterial small subunit ribosomal RNA
Source: RNAcentral